AUGAGCCGGGGAAGGGCACUCCUGUAAGGGGGCACGGAGGUCUGAAAAAGCACGGGGAGUAUGGCCAACUUUCAGGAUUUUUAGCACAGCUAGAAGACCCAGCCUCGCCUUUAAGGAUGGCAAAUAGUGCCCUGAUCUCCGUUGGCUGCUUGGCCAUAUUUGUCACUGUGAUCUCCCUCUUGGUGUACAAAAAACACAAAGAAUACAACCCAAUAGAAAAUAGUCCUGGGAAUGUGGUCAGAAGCAAAGGCCUGAGUGUCUUUCUCAACCGUGCAAAAGCCGUGUUCUUCCCGGGAAACCAGGAAAAGGAUCCGCUACUCAAAAACCAAGAAUUUAAAGGAGUUUCUUAAAUUUCGACCUUGUUUCUGAAGCUCACUU
This 378-nucleotide small RNA is filed under the name Pan troglodytes (chimpanzee). Its description in RNAcentral is "processed transcript". The record is from RNAcentral. Lineage: Eukaryota; Metazoa; Chordata; Mammalia; Primates; Hominidae.